GUUGACAUUGGCAAUGAAUGUUGGUAGUGUUACGAAUCCAGAUCCAAGCAUCCAUAGCCUGCCACCAGAUCCGCGCUGGAUCAUGGGAUUAUUCUUAUUGCAGCGCUAUCUAAAUUCCCACCUUGCCUUAGUGGUCGGUGGGAUGGCGCUAGUCCUUGGUAGUUUUUAUGUUUUCUACUUAAGUCAAAGCCAGAAGAGACAACAAACUUUAUAGCGCAGGGAUUCCCACUAUGGAAGUCGUUCUCUUGAAAAGAAUAAAUGUCGUGCCAAUGUCGUGGUUAUGACAUUGUGAUUUUGGCUUAUCUUCCUAUAAUGGG
RNAcentral lists this unclassified non-coding RNA (317 nucleotides) under uncultured fungus. Its description in RNAcentral is "sequence contains ITS1". Lineage: Eukaryota; Fungi. The record is from RNAcentral.